GAGAACAGCUCAGGGAAGCUUCUUGGGAAAGGAAUUGUGGGAGUUCCCUCUGCCAGGGACCCACUGUGGUAAGAGCUUUAAGGUGAAUAUCCACUUCGAGGCCGGCUCAACCACCGUCUUCAGAGAACUCUCCCACACUGGCCACAGCCUAUCUGCCAGCAUCACCCAUUGGCUAGGUCUUUGCCCAUAAUGUGUCAAGGGCAAAACAGAGGGGUGGGUAUGUGCACGUGCAUCAGCCCAGGGGCCCGUACAUGGCUGGCGUCCAGGUAAGGCAGGCCUGGGGCAGACAUUCCUUACACAGCUCCCACCCUACUCUUAAGCACAUUUAGGCAGCUGGGCCACCUUAGCCUUGGAGGGGAGGACACCAACGGGGCCCGCCUUCCCAACAGUCAGAGACAGACCCACACCCCAGUGGGUACCCAAGGCUUCUUUCCUUAGGCCCCAUCCCAUUUAGGAAGUUGGGAAACCCACUGGGUGAGCCCAAAGGCUACCAAAGCCUG
This 500-nucleotide non-coding RNA is filed under the name Pongo abelii (Sumatran orangutan). Lineage: Eukaryota; Metazoa; Chordata; Mammalia; Primates; Hominidae. The record is from RNAcentral.